This 253-nucleotide ribosomal RNA is filed under the name uncultured bacterium. Its description in RNAcentral is "partial 16S ribosomal RNA". It matches the Rfam family "Bacterial small subunit ribosomal RNA", at positions 524 to 776 of the family's 1533-position model. The record is from RNAcentral.
UACGAAGGGGGCUAGCGUUGUUCGGAAUUACUGGGCGUAAAGGGCGCGUAGGCGGUGUGUCAAGUCAGGCGUGAAAGCCCCGGGCUCAACCUGGGAACAGCGCUUGAGACUGGCACGCUCGAGUUCGGGAGAGGAUGGUGGAAUUCCCAGUGUAGAGGUGAAAUUCGUAGAUAUUCGGAAGAACACCAGUGGCGAAGGCGACACACUGGCCCAUUACUGACGCUGAGGCUCGAAAGCGUGGGGAGCAAACAGG